UUUCUUUUCUUCUUCUCUCUAUACGUUGGUGUUCUAACCAAUAAUCACCGAUGCGAUAUUCUGUCCGAUCGAUUCAGGAACCAACUAACGAAUGCCAAAGUUGCUGUCUAAACAAGACUAUACUUUGUGAAUUUCGUUAAGGUUCGGAUCUCGUGACCAUCGUUAGGUUUGAUUAGGUUUAACACUAAUACGUAUUCCAUUCUGUUAAACUAAAUAUUUAACUACUCGAAACUCUACCCCGUACACUUACAAUCAAAAUGGAUGCUUAAUCAUCAGAGGAUUCAGAACUAUAAAGUAGAUGCUUAGAAUCAAGAUGCUUGUUUAAUCAAGACUAUAUGCUAACAAGGU
RNAcentral lists this long non-coding RNA (348 nucleotides) under Helianthus annuus (common sunflower). Its description in RNAcentral is "hypothetical non coding rna". Lineage: Eukaryota; Viridiplantae; Streptophyta; Magnoliopsida; Asterales; Asteraceae. The record is from RNAcentral.